UGGUGGAGUGAUCUGUCUGGUUAAUUCCGUUAACGAACGAGACCUUAUCUUACUAAAUAGUUUUUGUAAAACUUUGUUUUAUCAAAAACUUCUUAGAAGGACUUUAUGUGUUUAACAUAAGGAAGUUUGAGGCAAUAACA
RNAcentral lists this ribosomal RNA (140 nucleotides) under uncultured eukaryote. RNAcentral's name for it is "partial 18S ribosomal RNA". It matches the Rfam family "Eukaryotic small subunit ribosomal RNA", at positions 1299 to 1458 of the family's 1831-position model. The record is from RNAcentral.